AAUUUUUAACAAUGUGUUUCAAGAAUCCACCAGCAAGACAAAAGACCCUGACGAAACCCACGUCGACACACAUGACCCCCUCCGCCCCAGGUGAGAAUACGGAGACACAGAAAAGGUAAGUAUUGAAAUGAAGGCUUCACUGAGAUACCCGGACUCCUGUGUGCCCUGCAGCAUUCUUCACAGAGCCAAGAGGUCGAAACAACCUCCACAUCUACUGACAGGCCAAAUGGAUACAGAAAUGCGGCAUAUGCAUGCAAUGGGACGUUAUUCAGCUAUGUAAAAAGAAGGAAACCCUGACACACACAACAACAUGAAUGAACUUUGAAGACAUUAUGCUAAGUGAAGUGAGGCAGUCACGGAAGGACAAAUACUUCGUUAUUCCACUUAAAGCAGGUUAUCCAUGUAGUGGUGGUGACAGAGAGACAGGAGGGAGGAGGGAGGCUGCCAGGAGCUGGGAGGAGAGGGCUCCAGGGAGGUGCUGGUCAAUGGCGGUAAAGUUUUAAUCAUGCAAGAUGAAAAAGUUCUAGGGAUCUGCUAUACUUACAGUGAAUACACUACUGUACACUGAAAAAUCUGUUAAGAUGUUAAUUUGCAUCUUGUUAUAGGUUUCUUACAAUUAAAAAACGAAUAAAUAAAUUGCUCAUAAAAACAGUUAGUAAACAGAACUGAGAUCCAAAUCUAGGCAGCCUGAACUCUUAAUUACCAUAUGGCUCACUAUCAUGCAUAUCAAGACAAUAUGCAAAUACAGGCAUAAAUUUACAUAUUUUCUAUUCAUAUGUUAAAUAGCUUUCAUUUUUUUAUGCUUAUUCAGCAAGAAUACUAGUCACUAAGGCUACAUACAUAAUAAUACAUUUACAAUGAAAAGUUUACUAUUUUUAAUUCUUCCUAUUUACCACACCUACGAAGCGUCUUUUUAUUGUUUUCAUCAACAAACGAAAUAAUUUUUAAAAUCCUACUGUCAGAAAAUGCUGCUUCCCCUGCAGCCAAAGUCAGGAUUUGGUAAAAUUUUUAAAUUAAAUGCUCAGCAUUAGAGUAGACAUAACAAGUAGCAGUGAAUUCCCACAAAGAGACCAGCCCUGUAAGUUGUAAGUUCGCUUAUGAAUUGACAAGGCAAAACCUAGAGUAUGCUGGCAAACUGUUUAAGUGACAUUCAGUUCAACUGAAAGAAAAAAAAAACUUUUAAGGAAACAAUUUUCCUUUUGUAGUUUAUGCAACAUAUGAACUUACUUUCCCCUAUCAGUCCUUUCUUCCAUUUCGGUUUCUCGCUAGGACUUACCGCUUGGCAAACGCUGGCGUUUCUGGUUUGGGUUAUGCCUCCCACAAAGACCACACAAGUCAGGAAAAUGUGGAAGCACAAGUUCACAAGCAUGUGCCAGCCCUUGAGACUGAUCCGAAUCAAACUGUUAAAAGGAAAAGGAAAAUAUUUACAUUCAGGCUAGUAAUUUGGAGCCAGACACUAUCCUACUUGCCUUCAAGUCAACUAUUCCAAUAGCACAAAAUGCCAAAUUUCAAAUGCUUACACAUCUAAAAAAACAAAUACUAUCAGACAGACAGACACACGCACAUUUUGAGAAAGCAUUUAACUCAAUACAGAUUCUUGACGUUUAACUUGACGCACGGAAAAAGACAAGUCAUAUAUGGAACUCCUGCCCCCACUAAAGGCUACAGCAAUUCCCCAUAAUAAGAAACAUGUGAGCUUUUGUUAGUUACGAAGUCUCAUGACAGAUGAAUGACUUGUCUGCUUCCCAGAGAUUUCUGCGAGGUGCCGAUCUCAAUUUCCCUGACCUGCUACUUCCCAGUGCCUUUCUUCGUGGCCUUUCCUAAUAACACGUUGAAGUCUUUCUUUCUUUCUUAUAUUGUAAUAUCAAAAUCUCUUGUUUCUUAACUAAAUGUCAAGAAAUGCCAUACAGGUUCAGCUGCAACCCAUUCUAGGAAAACACAUUCUAGCAAAACCUCUUAUAAA
Phyllostomus discolor (pale spear-nosed bat) is the source of this 1963-nucleotide long non-coding RNA. RefSeq lists it as uncharacterized. NCBI's taxonomy places the organism in Eukaryota, Metazoa, Chordata, Mammalia, Chiroptera, Phyllostomidae. The record is from RefSeq and is a predicted model, not a curated record. The transcript is spliced from 2 exons.